CCAGUGUGUCAUUGGUACUGCU
RNAcentral lists this unclassified non-coding RNA (22 nucleotides) under Mus musculus (house mouse). RNAcentral describes it as "oocyte_clustered_small_RNA9905". Lineage: Eukaryota; Metazoa; Chordata; Mammalia; Rodentia; Muridae. The record is from RNAcentral.